AGGUCUGUUGCAAGAGAACGCUGUUGCAAGAGAGAAAUCUCAAAUCAACUAAAAAUCUUCAGAAAGGAUAUUGAACAUAUAAGCACAAGACCAUGCUAAAAUGCAUGAAGUCUGGAGCCAUUGGUGAAGGAAACCAACCCUUAAAAAGUAAUGGCAUAUAAAGUAGUAAAAAUAAUUAGUAAGAAAACAAUUUGCAAAAUAAGAAUCAGCAGUUGCACUACAGCAGGAAAAAUACUUAAUGCAAUAGGGCCUAAAACAUUAACAGAAGCAUAGAAAUAUAAGAAAUGAAGCUCUGAAAUUUUGUGCAUCAUAAAGUCCUACUGAAACAGAAUACAGUUCACAUUAACCAAACAGAACCAUACCUGUACAUUUUUUCUAAUAUUUGA
RNAcentral lists this unclassified non-coding RNA (386 nucleotides) under Hevea brasiliensis (rubber tree). Lineage: Eukaryota; Viridiplantae; Streptophyta; Magnoliopsida; Malpighiales; Euphorbiaceae. The record is from RNAcentral.